CAAGAAUAUUAGUCAAUGCUCGCAAGAGUGAACUAGCUAACUGGAAUCACGAGUGUGUCAUUUGUGAUAAGGUAAGAAAAAAUAAUGAUGUCACCUUACUAUCAGUGUUGUCAAAAUCUGGUGCCAGAAGACUCGGUAAGGCCAGAGACGCAAGCGCUAGUCAUCUUGAUCAGGCGUAAAGGGUGUGUAGGCGGCUUUUUUUAAAGCUAGAAUCAUAUAGAGGUCACCGUGAGAGAAUACUUAGAGUAGGGUUGAUAUCUGUAAAUACCUAGCGUAAUUCCAAUUAGCGAAUGCUUUCUUCCAAAUAAUGAUUGACGCUGAGAAACGAAGGGGAGGAACGACAAUAGGAUUAGAUACCCUGGCCUCCCUCUCUGUCAACGAUGAAUGGUAGUAGCUAGUUCUAAUGAGCUAGUGGCGAUGUCAACACGUUAACCAUUCCGCCUU
RNAcentral lists this ribosomal RNA (444 nucleotides) under Austrogautieria chlorospora. RNAcentral describes it as "partial small subunit ribosomal RNA". It matches the Rfam family "Bacterial small subunit ribosomal RNA", at positions 356 to 873 of the family's 1533-position model. Lineage: Eukaryota; Fungi; Basidiomycota; Agaricomycetes; Hysterangiales; Gallaceaceae. The record is from RNAcentral.